ACUUCAUUCCCAGGACAGGUUCCGUUGGGUGAGAUCGUCCCUGUGGAAAUCACUGUCGAACCAGGACAGGUUCCGUUGGGUGAGAUCGUCCCUGUGGAAAUCCUUGUUGGACCAGGACAGUUUCCGUUGGGUGAGAUUGUCCCUGUGGAAAUCACUGUCGAACCAGGACAGGUUCCGUUGGGUGAGAUCGUCCCUGUGGAAAUCACUGUCGAACCAGGACAGGUUCCGUUGGGUGAGAUCGUCCCUGUGGAAAUCGUUGUUGGACCAGGACAGGUUCCGUUGGGUGAGAUUGUCCCUGUGGAAAUCACUGUCGAACCAGGACAGGUUCUGUUGGGUGAGAUCGUCCCUGUGGAAAUCGUUGUUGGACCAGGACAGGUUCCGUUGGGUGAGAUCGUCCCUGUGGAAAUCGUUGUUGGACCAGGACAGGUUCCGUUGGGUGAGAUUGUCCCUGUGGAAAUCACUGUCGAACCAGGACAGGUUUCGUUGGGUGAGAUCGUCCCUGUGGAAAUCGUUGUUGGACCAGGACAGGUUCUGUUACAUGAGAUUGUCCCUGUGGAAAUCCUUGUUGAACCAGGACAGGUUCCGUUGGGUGAGAUCGUCCCUGUGGAAAUCGUUGUUGGACCAGGACAGGUUCCGUUACAUGAGAUUGUCCCUGUGGAAAUCCUUGUUGAACCAGGACAGGUUACGUUGGGUGAGAUCGUCCCUGUGGAAAUCGUUGUUGGACCAGGACAGGUUCCGUUGGGUGAGAUCGUCCCUGUAGAAAUUGUUGUUGAACCAGGACAGGUUCUGUUGGGUGAGAUCGUCCCUGUGGAAAUCACUGUCGAACCAGGACAGGUUCCGUUGGGUGAGAUCGUCCCUGUGGAAAUCGUUGUUGGACCAGGACAGGUUCCGUUGGGUGAGAUCGUCCCUGUGGAAAUCGUUGUUGGACCAGGACAGGUUCCGUUAGGUGAGAUCGUCCCUGUGGAAAUUGUUGUUGAACCAGGACAGGUUCUGUUGGGUGAGAUCGUCCCUGUGGAAAUCCUUGUUGAACCAGGACAGGUUCCGUUGGGUGAGAUCGUCCCUGUGGAAAUCGUUGUUGGACCAGGACAGGUUCCGUUGGGUGAGAUUGUCCCUGUGGAAAUCACUGUCGAACCAGGACAGGUUCUGUUGGGUGAGAUCGUCCCUGUGGAAAUCGUUGUUGGACCAGGACAGGUUCUGUUACAUGAGAUUGUCCCUGUGGAAAUCAUUGUUGAACCAGGACAGGUUCCGUUACAUGAGAUUGUCCCUGUGGAAAUCAUUGUUGAACCAGGACAGGUUCCGUUACAUGAGAUUGUCCCUGUGGAAAUCAUUGUUGAACCAGGACAGGUUCCGUUACAUGAGAUUGUCCCUGUGGAAAUCAUUGUUGAACCAGGACAGGUUCCGUUACAUGAGAUUGUCCCUGUGGAAAUCGUUGUUGAACCAGGACAGGUUCCGUUACAUGAGAUUGUCCCUGUGGAAAUCGUUGUUGAACCAGGACAGGUUCCGUUGGGUGAGAUCGUCCCUGUGGAAAUCGUUGUUGGACCAGGACAGGUUCCGUUGGGUGAGAUCGUCCCUGUAGAAAUUGUUGUUGAACCAGGACAGGUUCCGUUGGGUGAGAUCGUCCCUGUAGAAAUUGUUGUUGAACCAGGACAGGUUCUGUUGGGUGAGAUCGUCCCUGUGGAAAUCGUUGUUGGACCAGGACAGGUUCCGUUGGGUGAGAUCGUCCCUGUGGAAAUCGUUGUUGGACCAGGACAGGUUCCGUUAGGUGAGAUCGUCCCUGUGGAAAUCGUUGUUGAACCAGGACAGGUUCUGUUGGGUGAGAUCAUCCCUGUGGAAAUCACUGUCGAACCAGGACAGGUUCCGUUAGGUGAGAUCAUCCCUGUGGAAAUCACUGUCGAACCAGGACAGGUUUCGUUGGGUGAGAUCGUCCCUGUGGAAAUCGUUGUCGGACCAGGACAGGUUCCGUUGGGUGAGAUUGUCCCUGUGGAAAUCACUGUCGAACCAGGACAGGUUUCGUUGGGUGAGAUCGUCCCUGUGGAAAUCGUUGUUGGACCAGGACAGGUUCCGUUACAUGAGAUUGUCCCUGUGGAAAUCAUUGUUGAACCAGGACAGGUUCCGUUACAUGAGAUUGUCCCUGUGGAAAUCAUUGUUGAACCAGGACAGGUUCCGUUACAUGAGAUUGUCCCUGUGGAAAUCGUUGUUGAACCAGGACAGGUUCCGUUACAUGAGAUCGUCCCUGUGGAAAUCGUUGUUGAACCAGGACAGGUUCCGUUGGGUGAGAUCGUCCCUGUGGAAAUCGUUGUUGGACCAGGACAGGUUCCGUUGGGUGAGAUCGUCCCUGUGGAAAUCGUUGUUGGACCAGGACAGGUUCCGUUAGGUGAGAUCGUCCCUGUGGAAAUCGUUGUUGAACCAGGACAGGUUCUGUUGGGUGAGAUCGUCCCUGUGGAAAUCGUUGUUGGACCAGGACAGGUUCCGUUGGGUGAGAUCGUCCCUGUAGAAAUUGUUGUUGAACCAGGACAGGUUCUGUUGGGUGAGAUCGUCCCUGUGGAAAUCACUGUCGAACCAGGACAGGUUCUGUUGGGUGAGAUCGUCCCUGUGGAAAUCGUUGUCGAACCAGGACAGGUUCCGUUGGGUGAGAUCGUCCCUGUGGAAAUCGUUGUUGGACCAGGACAGGUUCCGUUGGGUGAGAUCGUCCCUGUGGAAAUCGUUGUCGAACCAGGACAGGUUCCGUUAGGUGAGAUCGUCCCUGUGGAAAUCGUUGUUGGACCAGGACAGGUUCUGUUGGGUGAGAUCGUCCCUGUGGAAAUCCUUGUUGAACCAGGACAGGUUCCGUUGGGUGAGAUCGUCCCUGUGGAAAUCGUUGUUGGACCAGGACAGGUUCCGUUGGGUGAGAUCGUCCCUGUGGAAAUCGUUGUUGGACCAGGACAGGUUCCGUUGGGUGAGAUCGUCCCUGUGGAAAUCGUUGUUGGACCAGGACAGGUUCUGUUAGGUGAGAUCGUCCCUGUGGAAAUCGUUGUUGGACCAGGACAGGUUCUGUUGGGUGAGAUCGUCCCUGUGGAAAUCGUUGUUGAACCAGGACAGGUUCCGUUGGGUGAGAUCGUCCCUGUGGAAAUCGUUGUUGAACCAGGACAGGUUCCGUUGGGUGAGAUCGUCCCUGUGGAAAUCGUUGUUGGACCAGGACAGGUUCUGUUGGGUGAGAUCGUCCCUGUGGAAAUCCUUGUUGAACCAGGACAGGUUCCGUUGGGUGAGAUCUGGAAAUCAUUGUCGAACCAGGACAGGUUCCGUUAG
This 3285-nucleotide long non-coding RNA is filed under the name Macaca fascicularis (crab-eating macaque). Its description in RNAcentral is "lncRNA (ENSMFAG00000050116.1)". The record is from RNAcentral. Lineage: Eukaryota; Metazoa; Chordata; Mammalia; Primates; Cercopithecidae.